UUAAGUUCAGCGGGUAUCCCCACCUGAUCCGAGGCCAACCAUUGAUAAAAAUUUGGGGUCCGGGGCGGCCUCCAACCAGUCGUCCACAAGCGAGGGUUUUGCUACGCUUGGAGUCCGGUAAGGGGCGCCCACGAGUUUCGGGCCGCCGCACGGGCGGGGCCCAUCACCAAGCUAGGCUUGAGGGAUGUAAUGGCGCUCGA
RNAcentral lists this unclassified non-coding RNA (200 nucleotides) under Venturiaceae sp. Its description in RNAcentral is "partial internal transcribed spacer 2". The record is from RNAcentral. Lineage: Eukaryota; Fungi; Ascomycota; Dothideomycetes; Venturiales; Venturiaceae.